RNAcentral lists this ribosomal RNA (1374 nucleotides) under uncultured bacterium. Its description in RNAcentral is "bacterial SSU rRNA". It matches the Rfam family "Bacterial small subunit ribosomal RNA", at positions 28 to 1381 of the family's 1533-position model. The record is from RNAcentral.
GAUGAACGCUGGCGGCGUGCCUAAUACAAGCAAGUCAAGCGAACGGACGAGAAGCUUGCUUCUCUGAUGUUAGCGGCGGACGGGUGAGUAACACGUGGAUAACCUACCUAUAAGACUGGGAUAACUUCGGGAAACCGGAGCUAAUACCGGAUAAUAUUUUGAACCGCAUGGUUCAAAAGUGAAAGACGGUCUUGCUGUCACUUAUAGAUGGAUCCGCGCUGCAUUAGCUAGUUGGUAAGGUAACGGCUUACCAAGGCAACGAUGCAUAGCCGACCUGAGAGGGCGAUCGGCCACACUGGAACUGAGACACGGUCCAGACUCCUACGGGAGGCAGCAGUAGGGAAUCUUCCGCAAUGGGCGAAAGCCUGACGGAGCAACGCCGCGUGAGUGAUGAAGGUCUUCGGAUCGUAAAACUCUGUUAUUAGGGAAGAACAUAUGUGUAAGUAACUGUGCACAUCUUGACGGUACCUAAUCAGAAAGCCACGGCUAACUACGUGCCAGCAGCCGCGGUAAUACGUAGGUGGCAAGCGUUAUCCGGAAUUAUUGGGCGUAAAGCGCGCGUAGGCGGUUUUUUAAAUCUGAUGUGAAAGCCCACGGCUCAACCGUGGAGGGGUCAUUGGAAACUGGAAAACUUGAGUGCAGAAGAGGAAAAGUGGAAUUCCAUGUGUAGCGGUGAAAUGCGCAGAGAUAUGGAGGAACCCCAGUGGCGAAGGCGACUUUCUGGUCUGUAACUGACGCCGAUGUGCGAAAGCGUGGGGAUCAAACAGGAUUAGAUACCCUGGUAGUCCACGCCGUAAACGAUGAGUGCUAAGUGUUAGGGGGUUUCCGCCCCUUAGUGCUGCAGCUAACGCAUUAAGCACUCCGCCUGGGGAGUACGACCGCAAGGUUGAAACUCAAAGGAAUUGACGGGGACCCGCACAAGCGGUGGAGCAUGUGGUUUAAUUCGAAGCAACGCGAAGAACCUUACCAAAUCUUGACAUCCUUUGACAACUCUAGAGAUAGAGCCUUCCUCUUCGGGGGACAAAGUGACAGGUGGUGCAUGGUUGUCGUCAGCUCGUGUCGUGAGAUGUUGGGUUAAGUCCCGCAACGAGCGCAACCCUUAAGCUUAGUUGCCAUCAUUAAGUUGGGCACUCUAAGUUGACUGCCGGUGACAAACCGGAGGAAGGUGGGGAUGACGUCAAAUCAUCAUGCCCCUUAUGAUUUGGGCUACACACGUGCUACAAUGGACAAUACAAAGGGCAGCGAAACCGCGAGGUCAAGCAAAUCCCAUAAAGUUGUUCUCAGUUCGGAUUGUAGUCUGCAACUCGACUACAUGAAGCUGGAAUCGCUAGUAAUCGUAGAUCAGCAUGCUACGGUGAAUACGUUCCCGGGUCU